AUUGAACGCUGGCGGCAGGCCUAACACAUGCAAGUCGAACGGUAACAGGAAGCAGCCUGCUGCUUUGCUGACGAGUGGCGGACGGGUGAGUAAUGUCUGGGAAACUGCCUGAUGGAGGGGGAUAACUACUGGAAACGGUAGCUAAUACCGCAUAACGUCGCAAGACCAAAGAGGGGGACCUUCGGGCCUCUUGCCAUCGGAUGUGCCCAGAUGGGAUUAGCUAGUAGGUGGGGUAAAGGCUCACCUAGGCGACGAUCCCUAGCUGGUCUGAGAGGAUGACCAGCCACACUGGAACUGAGACACGGUCCAGACUCCUACGGGAGGCAGCAGUGGGGAAUAUUGCACAAUGGGCGCAAGCCUGAUGCAGCCAUGCCGCGUGUAUGAAGAAGGCCUUCGGGUUGUAAAGUACUUUCAGCGGGGAGGAAGGGAGUAAAGUUAAUACCUUUGCUCAUUGACGUUACCCGCAGAAGAAGCACCGGCUAACUCCGUG
This 490-nucleotide ribosomal RNA is filed under the name uncultured bacterium. RNAcentral's name for it is "partial 16S ribosomal RNA". It matches the Rfam family "Bacterial small subunit ribosomal RNA", at positions 30 to 507 of the family's 1533-position model. The record is from RNAcentral.